Molecule: long non-coding RNA, 851 nt
Organism: Tribolium castaneum (red flour beetle)
Lineage: Eukaryota; Metazoa; Arthropoda; Insecta; Coleoptera; Tenebrionidae
Exons: 2
Source: RefSeq, a predicted model, not a curated record
CGCGUGGUGGUGUUUUUGGGAUCAGGUUGUAUUUGUGUUGGUGGUGUUUGUAGGGUUUGGUGUUGGUUGGUGAGAUAGAAGCGGAGCAGAUGGUGGUGGAGUAGUGUCCGCUAGCGCGGAGUAGCGGUGAAUAGUGGAUUAACAAAAUGAAAAGAGCAAUGGAGGAUAUGACGAGCGUCCGAGCAACAGAGCAGCAAAACAGCCACAAGACAACAGAACAGGUACGACGGUGCAGAGAUGAUAAUAAGUAACAGAACAGUAAUAACGUAACGUAACGUAACAACCAAACAUGUCAACAUCGAGGGCCUCAGCCAGGUCGGGCGGGGGUUCCCUGGUGAAGUCCAUGGUCCCGGUCCUCCCGACCGAGCCGGAGUUCCAGAACAGAAUAUAACACUCAUGUUAAUCAUGUUAAUUACAUAUCACGCAUGACGGCGCGAGGGGAGUAAGGAGGGUAGCAGCGGGUAGGCACCUGUCCCGAGGACGGCGUCUGGAGAUACGAGGACACAUCGGGCUCCACCAUGCAGCUGCGCAACGUGUCGGGGAUGAACAUUCCUCAGGUCACGUCACCGUCACCGGCGGGCGGCGCGCACCGGUCCGGGUCCCAUCACCAGAAGAGAACUAGUGCUACCAGCAGCCUCCUCCUCAUUGAUUGCCUAAUGCGCACUGCGGACGCGGACGCGGGCACCGUCCGCAGCCUCUGCUCUUGCUCUUGCUCUUGCUCGUCCUCGGCCUCUUCUUGUGCUUGGCGACGAUUCCAACUCACUCAUCACUAGUCCCACACAUGCCACCUCGAGCUCCGCGAACGUCUACAUCAGCCGUCCGCACGUUGCACGUACCCAACACCUAGCAAA